UAGAAAGUCAAGAGACUGAAGUCCUCCAUUUUUUUUCAAAGAACAAGUAGAACAUGGACAACAGAAAUUCAACUGUUUGCCACACUGCCCUGCAAAGGUGCUUCAGGCUUGACCUGGGGGGGGGGCUGGUGCUGGGGUGAGAGGGUGGCUCAUUCAUUCAGUCGGAGGCCAUUCUUCUGAAAAUGCCAAC
Molecule: small RNA, 190 nt
Filed under: Cavia porcellus (domestic guinea pig)
Lineage: Eukaryota; Metazoa; Chordata; Mammalia; Rodentia; Caviidae
Description: TUC338 (ENSCPOG00000031934.1)
Source: RNAcentral